Molecule: ribosomal RNA, 423 nt
Filed under: uncultured Chlorobiota bacterium
Lineage: Bacteria; Pseudomonadati; Chlorobiota
Description: bacterial SSU rRNA
Rfam family: Bacterial small subunit ribosomal RNA
Source: RNAcentral
UGAGGAAUAUUGCGCAAUGCCCGAAAGGGUGACGCAGCGACGCCGCGUGGAGGAUGAAGGCCCUAUGGGUCGUAAACUCCUUUUAUGGGGGAAUAACUUCUCGCUAUAUGCGGGAUUGAAUGUACCCCAAGAAAAAGCAUCGGCUAACUACGUGCCAGCAGCCGCGGUAAUACGUAGGAUGCUAGCGUUGUCCGGAUUUACUGGGUGUAAAGGGAGCGCAGGCGGGUCGGUAAGUCAGUGGUGAAAUUCUCAGGCUUAACCUGAGAACUGCCACCGAAACUGCUGAUCUUGAGUGCAGAAGAGGUUGAUGGAAUUCUAGGUGUAGCGGUGAAAUGCGUAGAUAUCUAGAAGAACACCGAUGGCGAAGGCAGUCAACUGGUCUGCUACUGACGCUCAUGCUCGAAAGCGUGGGGAUCAAACAGG